Molecule: non-coding RNA, 2491 nt
Organism: Nicotiana tabacum (common tobacco)
Lineage: Eukaryota; Viridiplantae; Streptophyta; Magnoliopsida; Solanales; Solanaceae
Source: RefSeq, a predicted model, not a curated record
UCAAAUUGAAAUUCCACUUGAUGUCUUCAAUUGAAAAUUUGGUCUCCUCAUAGUCAAAAUUUUCAGCUACAAAACUAUUUUCUCUUUUAAUCAUUGAUCUUCCUUUUUUUUUUCUUUUCUGCUCCAGCUGCGUUUGUCCUUGGCUUUGAUAUUCUUUUCAAAAUUUCUCUAUUUUCCGGUUUGUAUGUGGCUUUGAUUCUCUUUUGUUUAAAGAUAAUUGAUUUAGAAUCUAAAUUAUGUGAUUUACAAUUUUCAUUUUGCCUCUGAUUUUAUAUUUUAUGCUUUAUUGUUUUUAGUUAAGUGUGUCUAAUUUUGAUAUUAAAUUUUCCCUCUUUCCCCGUUUUUCCUUUAUGGAUUCUGUCAUACAUGUGGUUAUUUUUAAAAAUGCCUCUUUAAAAAUUUUCAGCUUUAGUAGCAUGACUGCUCCCACAGCGGCUAUAGGAAAUUGCCACUCGGAGAAAAAUAAACUACCAAGGGAAGGGCUUUAAUGCAACCAAUGUGUUUGAUGAAGUUUCAAUGUAUUUGAUGAAAUUCUCCAAUGAAAGGAAGAUAGUUUCAACAAUUCGGUUGACCUCUUCUCUGCAAUCAAUCAAGCUUUUUACAUAUCAAUUGGCACUAAUUAGAUUAGUACAACUUGAUUUCUACUACUGAUGGCACUUUGAAUUCCCAUUUUGUUGAUUGAUGCGAAUCAGAUUGUUUGCAUGCUUAUAGGGAGAGAAAGUAUGAACUCGAAGGAGUUUCUAGAGUAGCAGAAAAAAAACUGGUCAUAAUCGGAAAAAAGGGGUAGGGGAGGCAAUCGAAGAAAAUGACAUAAACAACUGUUGCCAAGGUGGUGUUGACUUGAUAGAUGAAAAUUAAUUAGGUAAUGCAGAAUAGGGGUGAAAAGGAUGUAAAAGAAGUUUUGAGUUUAAAUAGCCUAAGGAGUAUAUGAUGAGUCCAACUAUGGAGAGCAUUAUUAGGUAUCAUCCAUGGAUUCAGUUGGUGUCAUAUAUAUAGUGAAACACCUAAACCAUCAUAUAAAUUGUAUAGGGUAUUGCUCAAAGUUAGUGGCGAGGCUCGUGCAGAAGAUCACGCACAAAAUAUUGACCCCAAUGUGAGAAGAGGAAUUGCUGGUAGAUGAAUGGCAUUUUAAAAAAAUUAUCUGCAUGUCCACCGUAUCCUUCCCGAGAUUAAACUUCUUAGGCUUAUUCAUAGUUCAGACAUAUUUGGUAUUCUGUUGCUAAGAAAAUAGCUUCUCGAAACAGCCUUAUAGCUUAAGGAAAGAACUUUAUCAGAAUAAAUCUAGCUAAUAUGUUAUUAUAUUUCGAGCGCACUAGUUAGUGACUUCUAUUAUGAAAGUAAACUACAAAAAGAGGCAGUACUAAACUACUAAUUGAUGAAUUGCUAAUAUAAGCUGUAGGAGAUUUACAUCUUAAGAUGCAGAUUCACAAACUAUUUAGUAAAAACUCGGCAUUGUUGUGCUAUGAUUAAUGGUGAAGAGAAAUUAGACUAUUCUAUCUACUUGACGGGAGUGAAAAGUGACUCAUCUGACCUUUUACGGAGUUUUUUUAUUUUAUUUUAUGUGCAUUGUACUACUUUAUUUAUAAUUUGAAAAUGCUGCUUAUGGAUACGUACUAUCAACAUUCAAUCUUUAAUUUUAAGCAUUACGCGCAUGAUUAAGAAUUAGAGAAUAACAACAUUCCUUGGACAAAUCAAAUAGCAAAAGGCAUAUUUUGUUACAUCACAGUAUGAUUUUACAGCUAAUUCAAUUAUCGAUAUUAAAUUCCACUUGCAGCAUUAGCUCUAAGAGGCAAAAAAAGUAUUACUUUGGAGUAGAGAAAGAUUUUCUUUGCUAAAGAAUAAAUAGGAUUUAUAGUUGAGUGUAACUCAUCUAGAAUUGGGGUCAUUUUUGUGAUUUUUUGCAUUCAAAAAACAUUUAGAUGGUUUUGCAUUUUUCUUCUUAAAGUGGUCCAUUGUAAUUACAUGCUGAAUUAUUUUUUUAUCCUUUAUAGGUGGUUUCAUUUUAUCUACACAACUGUAUUUUAUGGACUCGGAUGUCAUUAACAUCUUCCUAUAAUCUGGGAAGUGACACAUUGAUUCAUCCAGCAACAGCUUAAUUUGGUUGAGAAAGACAAAAUAAAGUUAUUUGUUGGACUGAAGUUUCAGGCCUAAUAUCCAAGGUAGGAAGCCCAAGAAGAUCAUGGAAGCUGAUAUCAGAAGUGAUAGAAGUGAUACAAUAGCCACUGCUUGGAUUCCAAUCAAGAGAAUGAUGCAGUCUGGAAAAAACGAUUUGUUCUUGGAGUUUUAUAAACCUAGCUAAACAUUUAUUUGUCUUUUCUUUUAUACAACAACAACAACGCAAUAGAAUUCCACUAAUGGGGUCAGGGGAGGGUAGAAUGUACGGAGACUUUAUCUCUACCCGAAAGGAUAGAGCGGCUGUUUCUUUUAUUUGAUAUAUUUAAGUUGUUCACAGAGGUGCAAGGAUAUGAAAUGUCUUGAAGUUUGCGAGUAA